RNAcentral lists this ribosomal RNA (405 nucleotides) under uncultured bacterium. Its description in RNAcentral is "bacterial SSU rRNA". It matches the Rfam family "Bacterial small subunit ribosomal RNA", at positions 28 to 434 of the family's 1533-position model. The record is from RNAcentral.
GAUGAACGCUAGCGGCAGGCCUAACACAUGCAAGUCGAGGGGUAGAACACUUCGGUGUUUGAGACCGGCGCACGGGUGCGUAACGCGUAUGCAAUCUACCUUGUACAGGGGAAUAGCCCAGAGAAAUUUGGAUUAAUGCCCCAUAGUAUAUAACCUUCGCAUGUUGGUUAUAUUAAAGUUCCAACGGUACAAGAUGAGCAUGCGUCCCAUUAGUUAGUUGGUAAGGUAACGGCUUACCAAGACGAUGAUGGGUAGGGGUCCUGAGAGGGAGAUCCCCCACACUGGUACUGAGACACGGACCAGACUCCUACGGGAGGCAGCAGUGAGGAAUAUUGGUCAAUGGUCGCAAGACUGAACCAGCCAUGCCGCGUGCAGGAAGACGGUCCUAUGGAUUGUAAAACUGCC